This 24-nucleotide unclassified non-coding RNA is filed under the name Mus musculus (house mouse). Its description in RNAcentral is "oocyte_clustered_small_RNA11861". Lineage: Eukaryota; Metazoa; Chordata; Mammalia; Rodentia; Muridae. The record is from RNAcentral.
UAUAGCAGGUGCUAGCUGGGAAGG